GGUAAAUUUUGGAAUACUUAGUUUUUUUUAAUUUCCUACAACUAAAGAAACAAAAUUAAAAGUCAAAGAUACAAUCUAUCUUUUUUAGAGAAAGUUAAAUUAAUUUUAGAUUUUUUGUAUAAUUUCAUCAGUCUCCUUUACUUAUGAGAAAUAAGGAAACAAAUAUAUAAAAUAAAUGGUAACACAUGUUCAGGAGUCUCAACAGGUUAUCUGAUAUCGAGUUUGAUAAGAUGCUCAAGUCUUGUGUUGGUUUAUGAGGGAGCAGCAGGAGUUAGCUGCCCAUUGUGGAAAGACCAGAGGAUACCAGGCACCUAAUAGAUGCACAGUGUACUAAGUAGUGUGCAAUGCCAGACACGGUGAAGUCCCGGGGCACCCUGAGGCUGAGGGCAUAACAGCCAGGUUUGCUGGUGGACUCACGCACCAUGAAAGCCCCCACUGGCUCAUGACUCAGCACCUCCAGAGCAAUCUCCCUUUUUCAGGUGAGGCUCCUCUGGCGGCGUGAGAGAAUCUGAACGUUCAGGGAGAGGCGGUGGAGUUGCUGAACGUGUGCUUGACGUGGAGACAUCGAGAGCCACAACUCCUGAAGAGGCGCUAGAGCUCAC
Molecule: long non-coding RNA, 602 nt
Organism: Portunus trituberculatus (swimming crab)
Lineage: Eukaryota; Metazoa; Arthropoda; Malacostraca; Decapoda; Portunidae
Exons: 3
Source: RefSeq, a predicted model, not a curated record